This 465-nucleotide ribosomal RNA is filed under the name Vreelandella stevensii. RNAcentral's name for it is "partial 16S ribosomal RNA". It matches the Rfam family "Bacterial small subunit ribosomal RNA", at positions 338 to 795 of the family's 1533-position model. Lineage: Bacteria; Pseudomonadati; Pseudomonadota; Gammaproteobacteria; Oceanospirillales; Halomonadaceae. The record is from RNAcentral.
CCUACGGGAGGCUGCAGUGGGGAAUAUUGGACAAUGGGCGAAAGCCUGAUCCAGCCAUGCCGCGUGUGUGAAGAAGGCCUUCGGGUUGUAAAGCACUUUUAGUGGGGAAGAAAGCCUUGGGGCUAAUACCCUCGAGGAAGGACAUCACCCACAGAAGAAGCACCGGCUAACUCCGUGCCAGCAGCCGCGGUAAUACGGAGGGUGCGAGCGUUAAUCGGAAUUACUGGGCGUAAAGCGCGCGUAGGCGGUCUGAUAAGCCGGUUGUGAAAGCCCCGGGCUCAACCUGGGAACGGCAUCCGGAACUGUCAGGCUAGAGUGCAGGAGAGGAAGGUAGAAUUCCCGGUGUAGCGGUGAAAUGCGUAGAGAUCGGGAGGAAUACCAGUGGCGAAGGCGGCCUUCUGGACUGACACUGACGCUGCGGUGCGAAAGCGUGGGUAGCAAACAGGAUUAGAUACCCCUGUAGUC